UGAGGUAGUAGGUUGUAUAGUUUUAGGGUCCUUCCCAAGUUGUCAGAUGACUAUACAACUUACUGUCUUUC
Molecule: microRNA precursor, 71 nt
Filed under: Monopterus albus (swamp eel)
Lineage: Eukaryota; Metazoa; Chordata; Actinopteri; Synbranchiformes; Synbranchidae
Description: Mal-Let-7-P2a2a_pre stem-loop
Rfam family: let-7 microRNA precursor family
About the family: This family represents the microRNAs (miRNA) let-7 and mir-98. let-7 was identified from a study of developmental timing in C. elegans, and was later shown to be part of a much larger class of non-coding RNAs termed miRNAs. The extents of the hairpin precursors are not generally known and are estimated based on hairpin prediction.
Source: RNAcentral